AGUGAACGCUGGCGGUAGGCCUAACACAUGCAAGUCGAACGGCAGCACAGUAAGAGCUUGCUCUUACGGGUGGCGAGUGGCGGACGGGUGAGGAAUACAUCGGAAUCUACUUUUUCGUGGGGGAUAACGUAGGGAAACUUACGCUAAUACCGCAUACGACCUACGGGUGAAAGCAGGGGAUCUUCGGACCUUGCGCGAUUGAAUGAGCCGAUGUCGGAUUAGCUAGUUGGCGGGGUAAAGGCCCACCAAGGCGACGAUCCGUAGCUGGUCUGAGAGGAUGAUCAGCCGCACUGGAACUGAGACACGGUCCAGACUCCUACGGGAGGCAGCAGUGGGGAAUAUUGGACAAUGGGCGCAAGCCUGAUCCAGCCAUACCGCGUGGGUUAAGAAGGCCUUCGGGUUGUAAAGCCCUUUUGUUGGGAAAGAAAAGCAGCAGGUUAAUACCCAGCUGUUCUGACGGUACCCAAAGAAUAAGCACCGGCUAACUUCGUG
This 492-nucleotide ribosomal RNA is filed under the name uncultured bacterium. RNAcentral's name for it is "partial 16S ribosomal RNA". It matches the Rfam family "Bacterial small subunit ribosomal RNA", at positions 29 to 507 of the family's 1533-position model. The record is from RNAcentral.